This 445-nucleotide long non-coding RNA is filed under the name Androctonus crassicauda. The record is from RNAcentral. Lineage: Eukaryota; Metazoa; Arthropoda; Arachnida; Scorpiones; Buthidae.
CACCUAUUUGACGUCAUUAGGUGGUUAGAGCGGUUUAUCCGGCAGACAUGCGCAAAUCGUUUACGACUAGCUAAUUAAUUUAGAUAUCCUUUCUCUUGCACCGCUUUCUCGUUUGUUGACAACAUGGCAGACGAAGAGAUCGAAGACGAUGUCGUGUUAACAGUAUGUGUUACUGUUUGCACGGAAGAAGUCAGUUCACUUCUCAAAAACAUGGAGGAGAUAACAGAAAAUGGAUUGGACGUGGUGAAGAGAGAGGAACCAUGAAUCCGUUGAUUCAAGAGCUGCGUCUCGAAAAUAUUUCAUCAUAUCGUUAUGGCUCCAGCCACGCUCAUCCAAACGAAAUUAGCGCCGUUUCUAUCCAUCAUUCUUUGCGACAACCGUUUACUGCGCAUGAUCGUCGGCACUUGGUAGUCGAAAAUAUCAACAAGACAGAUAAAUCUAUGGU